This 378-nucleotide unclassified non-coding RNA is filed under the name uncultured Actinomycetes bacterium. Its description in RNAcentral is "uncultured actinobacterium contains 16S-23S intergenic spacer region". The record is from RNAcentral. Lineage: Bacteria; Bacillati; Actinomycetota; Actinomycetes.
UCCGGCUUGACGCCGGCAGUCCCCGUAGAGUCCCCAACCAAAUGCUGGCAACAUGGAACGAGGGUUGCGCUCGUUGCGGGACUUAACCCAACAUCUCACGACACGAGCUGACGACAACCAUGCACCACCUGUGAACCGGCCCCAAAGGGGAAACCACAUUUCUGCGGCGAUCCGGCCCAUGUCAAGCCUUUGUAAGGUUCUUCGCGUUGCAUCGAAUUAAUCCGCAUGCUCCGCCGCUUGUGCGGGCCCCCGUCAAUUCCUUUGAGUUUUAGCCUUGCGGCCGUACUCCCCAGGCGGGGCACUUAAUGCGUUAGCUACGGCGCGGAUCCCGUGGAAGGAAACCCACACCUAGCGCCCACCGUUUACGGCGUGGACUAC